Molecule: ribosomal RNA, 508 nt
Filed under: uncultured bacterium
Lineage: Bacteria
Description: partial 16S ribosomal RNA
Rfam family: Bacterial small subunit ribosomal RNA
Source: RNAcentral
AUUGAACACUGGCGGCAUGCCUUACACAUGCAAGUCGAACGGCAGCGGGGGAGAAGCUUGCUUUUCCUGCCGGCGAGUGGCGAACGGGUGAGUAAUACAUCGGAACGUGCCCUGUAGUGGGGGAUAACUAGUCGAAAGAUUAGCUAAUACCGCAUACGACCCGAGGGUGAAAGUGGGGGACCGCAAGGCCUCAUGCUAUAGGAGCGGCCGAUGUCUGAUUAGCUAGUUGGUGGGGUAAAGGCCUACCAAGGCGACGAUCAGUAGCUGGUCUGAGAGGACGAUCAGCCACACUGGGACUGAGACACGGCCCAGACUCCUACGGGAGGCAGCAGUGGGGAAUUUUGGACAAUGGGCGAAAGCCUGAUCCAGCAAUGCCGCGUGUGUGAAGAAGGCCUUCGGGUUGUAAAGCACUUUUGUCCGGAAAGAAAUGGCUCUGGUUAAUACCUGGGGUCGAUGACGGUACCGGAAGAAUAAGGACCAGCUAACUACGUGCCAGCCGCCGCGGUAA